Carica papaya (papaya) is the source of this 642-nucleotide non-coding RNA. NCBI's taxonomy places the organism in Eukaryota, Viridiplantae, Streptophyta, Magnoliopsida, Brassicales, Caricaceae. The record is from RefSeq and is a predicted model, not a curated record.
CUCCCCAUCAUUUCCCUUCUCUCUCUUUCUUACACAACAAACAGUAGUCACCUAUCAACACCCAAUGGAACCAACAUCACCCAACUUUCUAUAUAUACACACACACAUAUAUAUGGUAUAGAUUGGUGGGGAUCUCCUACAAGUUUCAACCCAUACAAAUUUGUUCCUGUUUAAUUGUUCUCAGAAUCAUACAACACAAAUAUCAAACUCCCAAUUUCAAACUAAGACAGAGAUAAAAAGAGAAUAUGUGCAGCAGCAGCACCAGUAGAGAUUGGAUUCGAUCUCGCCCCAUCUGUGCUUCUUCUAAGAGAAAGCACAGAUCAUCAAGACUUCAAAUUUACAGGCUGUCCAGGAGAAGAUGUGAUCAGUCGAAGAUGGAAUUGAAGAACUUGAAGCUGUACUUGGAGAACCAGAGCAUCAUUCAAGAAAACCAGAAGCUUAGACAAAAAGCUAAUCUUCUGCACCAGGAGAACCUAGCAUUGAUGAGCCAGUUCCAAAACAUUAGUCUCCGUGGAUUCUCUACCUCACUUUUUCUCCUCCUUCAAAAACACUGAUCUCCAUUUCCUCUCUCUCUUUUUUCUUUUCUCUUUUUCUUUUUCAUGUUGAAAAAAGAAAUAAUAAGAAUGGAUUUGCCAGACUUAA